ACGCUCGACACCUACGGGAGCAGCAGUGGGGGAUAUUGCACAAUGGGGGAAACCCUGAUGCAGCAACGCCGCGUGAGGGAAGAAGGUUUUCGGAUUGUAAACCUCUGUCCUUGGUGACGAUAAUGACGGUAGCCAAGGAGGAAGCUCCGGCUAACUACGCGCCAGCAGCCGCGGUAAUCUGAGCGGGCUGGCAAGGC
This 197-nucleotide ribosomal RNA is filed under the name uncultured bacterium. RNAcentral describes it as "partial 16S ribosomal RNA". It matches the Rfam family "Bacterial small subunit ribosomal RNA", at positions 328 to 539 of the family's 1533-position model. The record is from RNAcentral.